NNCCUCUAUCCGAGGACAAUAUAUUAAAUGGAGUUUUGGAAUUAUGAGAUGGAAAAGGAGCUUGCUCCAUCCACUCCAUGCAUUGACCUGGUAUUACAGUACCUCCAGGAAUGGUGC
Molecule: small nuclear RNA, 117 nt
Filed under: Echinops telfairi (small Madagascar hedgehog)
Lineage: Eukaryota; Metazoa; Chordata; Mammalia; Afrosoricida; Tenrecidae
Description: U2 spliceosomal RNA (ENSETEG00000025835.1)
Rfam family: U2 spliceosomal RNA
About the family: U2 is a small nuclear RNA (snRNA) component of the spliceosome (involved in pre-mRNA splicing).
Source: RNAcentral